GUAAAAGAAGAUGUGGGUAUUGUAUUUAUACCUAGAACAGAUUUAUUAUUAGUUGGCUAGUGUGUUAGUAGGAUAGCCAUUGGUAGUUAUAAAGUAUGAAGUCGUCAGGUAUUAAUAAUAGGAAUUGAUCAAAGCUUAUACAUUUAUUGUGAUGUUUAUAUUGUGAAUUUAAGUAGUUAGAGUUUUGGUUGUUUAAUAAACGAAUUAAUGUGCUUA
This 216-nucleotide long non-coding RNA is filed under the name Sitophilus oryzae (rice weevil). RNAcentral's name for it is "uncharacterized LOC115875285". The record is from RNAcentral. Lineage: Eukaryota; Metazoa; Arthropoda; Insecta; Coleoptera; Curculionidae.